GGCAUCAUAGGUAGUGUUGACUGCCAGGCUGCCUAGUCGUUGGUAUACAGGUUAACUCACAGGCAUCCAGUUGGUUUUAGAUACCUGUAAGGCAUCUAGAUGGACAUUAAGAGGGGCUGACUCCCAGGCUGCUUCCUAACACUGGUUAGCUCUCAGGCAGCCAAUUAGCUUUGGAUGCCUGUGAGGCACUUGACGUUGAGACUGGUUGACUUCCAGGCUGCUUUGGAAUAAGGAUACCUCUGAGGCAGCCACCAGUUUUUGGAUAACUCUGAGGCAUCAUAGGUAGUGUUGACUACUUUAUAUCAAUAAAUAACUACUUUAAAGACUUUAAAGACUACUUUAUAUCAAUAAAGAACUUCAGAAAGCCAGCUCCAAACUAUUACACCCCAGUGUCAAUAAGUGUUUCAUUGUCACAUUGGUAUGUGCAUCAAAUCUGAAUUUAAUACUGUGUUCGUGUCAUGAUAUGUCUUUCCCAUUUUGUUAAGGCGAAGCCAAGGACCUGUGCUCCUCCGUCGGUGCUCUGGCUGCCAGGAGCAUCGAAUUUAAAGAAGUGGCCAUGCUGCGGGCAUCAGACCCCACUGUGGCCACAGGGAGAGCCACGGAGUUCAAACAACAGCUCCAGCACCUCGCCAACCAGGUGAGGUCAAAUGAUCAAUUUGACCUCCUCACGCACACCUUGGGGCCAGGAAUGGUAGAGGUGGUGGUGGAUAUUUUUUAAAAGUGUGUUGACACACACAUUGAAAAUAUUAACAAUUAGCAAUUUGUUGUUUGUUGUGUUCAUUAAUUAAAUAUCUUCAUGUUCUACA
Long non-coding RNA from Pseudoliparis swirei, 806 nucleotides. RefSeq lists it as uncharacterized. The transcript has 2 exons. The record is from RefSeq and is a predicted model, not a curated record. NCBI's taxonomy places the organism in Eukaryota, Metazoa, Chordata, Actinopteri, Perciformes, Liparidae.